GCCUGGGUGGCUCAGUCCGUUGAGCUUCCGGCUUUGGCUCGGGUCAUGAUCUCAUGGUUUGUGGGUUCAAGCCCCACCACAGGCU
Felis catus (domestic cat) is the source of this 85-nucleotide transfer RNA. It matches the Rfam family "tRNA". Rfam says of the family: Transfer RNA (tRNA) molecules are approximately 80 nucleotides in length. Their secondary structure includes four short double-helical elements and three loops (D, anti-codon, and T loops). The record is from Rfam. Lineage: Eukaryota; Metazoa; Chordata; Mammalia; Carnivora; Felidae.